GUCGAGCGGAUGAAAGUAGCUUGCUACUGGAUUCAGCGGCGGACGGGUGAGUAAUGCUUAUGAAUCUGCCUAUUAGUGGGGGACAAGCGUUCCGAAAGGGGCGCUAAUACCGCAUACGUCCUACGGGAGAAAGCAGGGGACCUUUGGGCCUUGCGCUAAUAGAUGAGCCUAAGUCGGAUUAGCUAGUUGGUAGGGUAAAGGCCUACCAAGGCGACGAUCUGUAGCGGGUCUGAGAGGAUGAUCCGCCACACUGGGACUGAGACACAGACCAGACUCCUACGGGAGGCAGCAGUGGGGAAUAUUGGACAAUGGGGGGAACCCUGAUCCAGCCAUGCCGCGUGUGUGAAGAAGGCCUUUGGGUUGUAAAGCACUUUAAGCGAGGAGGAGGCUACCUAGAUUAAUACUUUAGGAUAGUGGACGUUACUCGCAGAAUAAGCACCGGCUAACUCUGUGCCAGCAGCCGCGGUAAUACAGAGGGUGCGAGCGUUAAUCGGAUUUACUGGGCGUAAAGCGUGCGUAGGCGGCCAAUUAAGUCAAAUGUGAAAUCCCCGAGCUUAACUUGGGAAUUGCAUUCGAUACUGGUUGGCUAGAGUAUGGGAGAGGAUGGUAGAAUUCCAGGUGUAGCGGUGAAAUGAGUAGAGAUCUGGAGGAAUACCGAUGGCGAAGGCAGCCAUCUGGCCUAAUACUGACGCUGAGGUACGAAAGCAUGGGGAGCAACAGGA
This 722-nucleotide ribosomal RNA is filed under the name Acinetobacter sp. 'Acinet.1'. RNAcentral's name for it is "bacterial SSU rRNA". It matches the Rfam family "Bacterial small subunit ribosomal RNA", at positions 61 to 777 of the family's 1533-position model. Lineage: Bacteria; Pseudomonadati; Pseudomonadota; Gammaproteobacteria; Moraxellales; Moraxellaceae. The record is from RNAcentral.